UAUAUUUGAUAUUAAUAUAAUACGCGUAAUAUAUACGAAGAUUCACGUGUCUAUCGACGGAAAAGUGAUUUGCGAAAAUGUGUACAAUUACGAGAAACGCGUCAGAUCUCGAGAAACGUCAAACGAGAAAUGGCAGUCGUGGAAUCGUCAGUGACCAGUUUCUAAAUUAUUACCGUUUCUAUAUAACUCUCAUCGUCCUCAAUAACAGCUGAGCUCGAUUAUUGGUGAGUUUCCUACCAAUUACGAGGACUGGUCGUCGCGGCUUUUCAAACACACGAGCCAUCAAACUGGAAAAACUGAAGAAUUCGAGGAAUCUCAAUUCAUCUGAACCAACACCACGAACACGUAAUAGCUCGAGCAAGCUUUUAGGUUAAUCGAUGAUUAUUCCAUUCUGAUAUCAUCCGUAUAAUUCAAUAAUUUAAAGAGUACAGACAAAAAGUGAUAAGAAAGUGACGAGACUUUUAAUUUGAAAAGAUUUGUAGUAUAAAUUUAAACUUUGGUAUUUUCUAAGAAUCUGCUUAUGUUUAGGUAGAAAUAUCAAGAUAUUAGAUGUCAUCGAUGAACAAAGUUUGUAUUGGCACUAGCAAACUUUGCAAGAUUAUGGAUAAUAAUUUCAGUUUGAUAUCAUCCGUAUAAUUUAAUUAUAAUAAUUAAAGCUUAUAUGGAAGAGUAAAGUAAAGUUUGAUACAAGUCUUUCUAUACCUUAGUGAAAAGAUAUUUGUGUCAUAUUUCAAAAAUUUCUACGUACCAUACACACGACAAAUGGUAUAACAUAAAUGGCAAAUAAAUGUGACAAUUGAAUACCCGGAUUAUUACCAAAUACGUAGACAAUAGUAUACAAGGUUCGUUAAUUUAGAUCAUUUAAUUGAAAAAUAUGAAAAAUAGGAGAAUAGAAAAUACGAAGAAUAAAGGAAUAGAAAGAUAUUGUAAAAAAUUGAAAGUUGCCGGUGAAUCUAAUUCGAUGACUAGAAACUACAUCAAAUGUGUUCUACUCUUCCUAUACAUACAUAUUCAAUAAUAAAAAAAAAAAAAUACACGCGUAUCAUUCUUCUACUCGACCCUUCAAUUAUUAAAUUCCACCAUGUUCCACGUCUCUCUCAAUAUCGCUUCCAGUUAAAUGUAUUCCACGUUUCAGAGGUUCUUUCUUUAAAGGCAGAUUUCCAAGUCCAACAAUCGAACGCGGUGGAUUCCAAAGGAAUUUAAAUGUAUUUCUUUUCUUUUAUCUUUCCUUCUUUCCUUUUUUUCUUUUUCUUAUAUUUAAACAAAGGUUACAGAGGUAAUUGAAAUUGUCGUCAGGGGCAAGGGAAAUAUAUAGACGGUAUAAAUAGAAGACAUUGAGUAAAAGAGGCUGUCGAAAAUGCGCAACUGGCAGCAAUUGGUUCCGGUUACCGAUAACUUUGCCAUCAGCCUUGACUUCGAGAUUGGAACGUUGUUGCGACGACGCGACUGUGCAACACUGACAGACCGGCGAGAUUUUCGGAGGUGAGAAGAGAUUCGAGUGAAUGGCUGCUGAUGCUGUGUUUUCUUUGGCCGUUUAGGUGAGAAUUCUCUCACCUGGCUAACCGCCGAAUCAUUCGAUUUGGAAUAUUGGAAUCGAUAUUAAUUGGUCGAGACGGUGGAAAUAUUACGAAUUUACUGAAACUAGGAAAACAAAAAAUAUUAAGACGCUUGGAAUACUAGGAAAUUACUGGAAUGCUGGAAAUAUUGGAAAUACUGGAAGUAAUGUAAAUACUAGAAAUAUUGGGAAAUUGGGAAUAUUUUUUGAAUCAUUGGAAACGUUCAGAAUAUUGGAAAUAACAUAAAUACUAGGAAUAUUGGAAAAUUGGGAAUGUUUUUUGUAUUAUUGGAAACGUUCAGAAUAUUGGAAAUAACAUAAAUACUAGGAAUGUUGGAAAAUUGGGAAUGUUUUUUGAAUCAUUGGAAAACGUUCAGAAUAUUGGAAAUAACAUAAAUACUAGGAAUAUUGGAAAAUUGGGAAUGUUUUUUGUAUCAUUGGAAACGUUCAGAAUAUUGGAAAUAACAUAAAUACUAGGAAUGUUGGAAAAUUGGUAAUGUUUUUUGAAUCAUUGGAAAACGUUCAGAAUAUUGGAAAUAACAUAAAUACUAGGAAUAUUGGAAAAUUGGGAAUAUUUUUUGAAUCAUUGGAAACGUUCAGAAUAUUGGAAAUAACAUAAAUACUAGGAAUAUUGGAAAAUUGGGAAUAUUUUUUGUAUCAUUGGAAAACGUUCAGAAUAUUGGAAAUAACAGAAAUACUAGGGACAUUAGAAAGUUAAAUGAUAAAAGCAGUGGAAAUACUUGAAGUCUGGAGAAUAUUGGGAAUAUCGAAAAAUGCACAGUACUAGAACUAUUCAAAGUAAUGGAAACUCUGAGGAUACUGGAAGGUUAGAAAUACUUGGAAUAUUGGAAAUAUUAGAAAUUUUAUAAAUAUUACAGACACCUAAAAUGAAGAAAUACUAUUAGAAAUUUUCAAAAUUUUCUCUCGUAAUCGAUAAUAUCAAAUAUAUCCAAACUUGUUCUCGUUAUUAUAAAUUAUAGCUUUUUAGGGAUAUCGAAAGAUAUUUGUGUCAAUUAUUUUUUAUGUACAAUACAAAUAUCAGCUUUCAUCCACAAAGUAGCGUUCGAGUUUUUAGAUUUCAUCCAUCUGUUUCAUCCAAUUUUUCGCUCUGUCCUCCAACUGCUUAUUUUCACAACUGUCCUAUGAUAUUGGUGGUAAAAAAUUGUGCUUUUGUAAUUCUUCGGAAUUUAGAGAAUGGCGUCCUAUAAAUAUUUUUCAUAUUCUGAACUAUACAUCAAUUGGCCAUUUCCUAUCAUUCUGCCCUAAAGAAAAUUGUUGAUGACAUAAUCUUUUGAUAAUAAUAUGGCACGAGCAAGUUUGUUAAAAUUAACUAUCAUACAGAAGGUAUGUCGUAGCUUGUAGUUUCUUUCACAGUAGAAAAUUGAGGACUUUCGAGACAUGGGACGAAAAUUUCGAAAUACCUGGGGCCGCCUAAAAAAUUACCUGAGAAUGACUAAAGGUUCGCUAAUGCAUUGACUUUCUCCAAAGGAUCAAGGAACUGACUACCUGCGAUCGAUCGAAGUAUCUGGAACCAACCCUCAUAAAUAUUUCAUCCAUCUUUCACAACAUAAAUUUCUCAAAAUCUUCUUAAUAACAGUAUUAGGUAUCUUUUUUAUAACUUCUUUCGCCAUCGAACUGCUCUAAAUUCAUCUAAAAAUCCUUUCCAGGUAUACAACCUCUCGAAUGUUUCAGAAAAUUCAAAACUUCCUGCAAAAAUCUCUAGCAAAUUAUUUCGCCAUCUACCUACAACUCGAAUAUAUAAUCGAGACGAUAAAAAAUAAUUACAGCUGAUUAAAAAUAAUCGAAACUUUCACGAGCGCCGUAAGACAAAUCUACGAAGAAGCUGAUCGUUCUCCAACAAGAUAACAUCUUUGAAAUCUUUCGCAUACGAGAGAAAAAAAUCAUCCCAACGAUCUCCCGAAGAAGAUCUAUGCGGAGAAAUAAAUGUCAAAGCAAUGUGUGUCGAUCGGACAGAGAAUUUCACUGAAAUAAAAAUCAUCAAUUGGUUUUCCACGAGGAGAACAUCUUCCAGAUCUACUUUAUACGAGAGAAAUCUAAAGAUUUUCCGGAGAAAUCGGUCUCCAUCAAGAGGAGACCUCCGACAUUUUUCGCAUACGAGAGAAAUCUAGUAGAGUAGCAUUAGAGAUCGUUGGAAGAUUUUUGACAAAAUUUUCCAACAAUUUCCAGAGAGAUCGUCAAGGUCGUGAUCCAUCGAGCACACCUUCCAGAUGUUCCGCGUACGAGUGAAAUCUACUACGGAAAAUCUUCGAUAUUCGAGAACUGUUCCAACAAUUUUCCACAGAUCCGGCAGACACUUUUCCAACAUCUCUCACGAAUCUACACUACGUUAUCACAAAUGGUGUAAAAUCCAUCAUACCUUCGCUAAAAGGAAAAUCAUGAAAAAAUGAAUCGUCCGAAAACCUCAUGACAAAUUUUUCUACGAAGCAAUUUGACCAUCGUUCGAUUCGAAAUCCGUGAAUGACUAUGUGCAAAAGCGAGAAAACACGAUGCUCAGGUUGGACCAGGCCGCGAGGAAAUCGCGCCGCGACCGGAUAUACGACGAUAAAACCGAAAGUAGCGUGACGUGGGCCCGUUGCUCCCCCUUUUGUCCUCUUCCCCCCUUAUCUCCCUCUCUCUACCCGCUUUACAUUCGUUCGUUUAUGCUCUCGCCAAGGUUGUGUUCCGUGUGACCAUGCCCAAAGCCAUGUCGUAUAUAUGCAAAGCAAAUGCAAGGUCGGUCGCGCGUGUCUCUGCCGCGUCUAUGCGCGAUGGCGCGCUUGUAUCCGUCUCCGUGGGGCCCCUCUCGUUGCACGCAAACAUCACGACCACGCGAUACGCUACCAGAGAGGAGUAUGCAUGUAAUCUGGGAGGCAAUGACGUGGCCCAAAAAACGGUGGCUUCGUCAAAAUCCCCAGCGCCCCACCGCAUAAGUCUUCCUUCUCUACGCAGACUUCUCUUCUCUCUUCUUCUUUCCUUUUCUUCUUCUUUUUUUGUCUUUCUAUUUUUUUUCUGUUCAGGAGAACCGAGCAAACGGCGAAACUGGACCUUGAGGCCCCGACGACGUGGACACUGAGCUGUACUCUGUGUAGUUCUUGUGCUAUAACAUUUUAAGUUAACGCGAAACAGGCAAACGUGGUUGCGGGAGGUAGGGACUGAGGAAAUCGGAGUAUCGAGCGGUGAAACGUUGAAGGAUUAGGAAUGUUAGACGAGUAUCGAAAGUUGUAGAGUAGCGAAAUGUUGAGGCUAAGGAAUAUCUUAAGAUACUGAAUUAAUGAAACGUUGCAGGAUCGGGCAUUUUUUAAAUACCGAGCUGUGGAACGUAGAAGCAUGAAGAAAGUUAAAGUAUUUUGUACCGAAAGAUCGAAGGACUAGGAAUGUUGGAGUAUCGAGUAGUGGAAUGUUGAUGGAAAUUGUUGAGUAUCGAGUAAUGGAGAAUUGAGUUACUAGUACAAUGUAGAAAGAUUAAGAGUACAAAGUAUCGAGUAUUAGAAUGUUGCAUAGAGAAUAUUGGAGAACUGAGUAGUGGAAUAUUGGAUAGAGAAUAUCAAAAUUUCAUUCAGUGUUGGAAUGUCGAAAGCUUGCAAAUAUUAGAAUAUCCAGCAGUGAAAUGUUGCACUGAGAAUACCAAAGUAUCGUGUAACGAAGAAUUGAAAAUUUUUGAGAAUCGAGCAGUGGAAUGUUAGAAGACUGAAGGUAUUAGGGAAAUAUUAGGAAUAUUAUAUUCCAAUGUUGAAAGAUUAAGAAUGUAAAAAUACUGAGUAGUAGAGUGUUGAAGUAUUGAGAAUUUUGAAGUGUCCAGUUGGAAUAUUAGAAUGUUGCAUCGAGAAUAUUGGAAAACCGAGUACAUACUGAACUAUCAAAGUAUCGAAGAACGUUGAAGAAUGUUGAAGGAUUAAGGAAUUUGGAAGGUUCGACUGUUGUUAUUAAAACAGCAAUAUGAAACUGCAUAAAAUUCAGCAAUUUAAUGCUAAAAAGAUAUCUGUGCUUAGUGACAUCUAUUGGAAAAUCUCAACGCUAAUCCACUCCAUAAAUUACUCUAAUCUAAUCUAGUAUCUGACCGUGUCAAACCAAAUUCCCUACACCGCAGAUCCGUCACCAACGACAGCAACAGCCUCGUUGUUCGUCGUUUUAUGAAUAAUUCACGACGACGAUCCGACAGACGAACGCCGAAACGUUAGAUCAUGCUUCGGUUUUCCACGAUCUACAGAGUUUCUGGCACGGGAAUCUUGUUCGUUCGUUGCAUUCGAUGGAAGCCGUCAAAGCAAACUGGUGUUUUUUUCUUUUUUUUUUUUUCUCGCACGUAAUUCCAGCAACAACGUCGAGACUUCAAAGCGGCGAUACGAGAACUCUUGUUUAAACCAUUAAUCCUUCGGACAAAUCUGUCUAACACGAGCAGAUACAAAGAGCAAAAGCAGCAAUAAAAAAAGAGAGAAAGAAGAAAAGAAAAACCGACUUUCUUUCGAUUUCUUAUACUUUAUUUCGUAGCGGAAAUAAGCGCGCGUAAAUCAAAAUUUACUUCCCAGCGAGAAUGAAACUGCCGUAUGAAAACCUUGCCAGAGGAAUAUCUUUUUAUGCGAACUACAGAUUGGAAUCGUCUUUUUCAUUUUUCACCGACGAAUCACGAGAUCUCUGGAGAUUCGCGAGAGGAAGAGGAAGAAGAGAGCAGAGGAGGAUUCUAUGCGUUGAAACGCGGUUAAAACGCAGACGAACACCUUGCGUUCCAGCACCGAGGCUGCUGUAAAUGCUCGGCCUUGAACGGGGUUUACGUAACGCGACAGGGGGAAAAAACGUCCCCUUUCUGGCGGGAGAUCGUUCUGCAUUGUCACGGGCCGUCCGCGAUUCGCUUGCGUGCGGAUUGGCCACGGUGGAACCUUGGCUUUCGAGUUUCUUCUUUUGCUCUCUCUCCGUGCUGAUGCAAGGAUUUGGGUUUAACGAGGUUCCAGGGGUACGCGCACCGGUGCCUUCUUUGAGACAUUGAAAUCCCGCCUGCUCGAUUCCAGAUGGAAAGAUAUUUAUUAAUAUAAAUAUAUGCAGAUAUUGCGGAUCAGAUAAAACGUGAUAUUAACGGAGGUUUGUUAAACUUUAACGCUAAAACCGUUAAUAAUGAAAUAUGCUACGUGGUAUUUUACAAGAAACAAACCAUUUUUGACCAGUCUUUAAAUUUUUGAAAAAACGAAUGGAUGGUGUUUGGCUUAUUA
Long non-coding RNA from Bombus huntii, 6753 nucleotides. RefSeq lists it as uncharacterized. NCBI's taxonomy places the organism in Eukaryota, Metazoa, Arthropoda, Insecta, Hymenoptera, Apidae. The transcript has 3 exons. The record is from RefSeq and is a predicted model, not a curated record.